UACCGAGUUUACAACUCCCAAACCCCUGUGAACAUACCUAUACGUUGCCUCGGCGGAUCAGCCCGCGCCCCGUAAAAAGGGACGGCCCGCCCGAGGACCCCUAAACUCUGUUUUUAGUGGAACUUCUGAGUAAAACAAACAAAUAAAUCAAAACUUUCAACAACGGAUCUCUUGGUUCUGGCAUCGAUGAAGAACGCAGCAAAAUGCGAUAAGUAAUGUGAAUUGCAGAAUUCAGUGAAUCAUCGAAUCUUUGAACGCACAUUGCGCCCGCCAGUAUUCUGGCGGGCAUGCCUGUUCGAGCGUCAUUUCAACCCUCAAGCUCAGCUUGGUGUUGGGACUCGCGGUAACCCGCGUUCCCCAAAUCGAUUGGCGGUCACGUCGAGCUUCCAUAGCGUAGUAAUCAUACACCUCGUUACUGGUAAUCGUCGCGGCCACGCCGUAAAACCCCAACUUCUGAAUGUUGACCUCGGAUCAGGUAGGAAUACCCGCUGAACUUAAGCAU
This 502-nucleotide ribosomal RNA is filed under the name Fusarium equiseti. RNAcentral describes it as "eukaryotic LSU rRNA". The stretch from base 152 to 305 matches the Rfam family "5.8S ribosomal RNA". Lineage: Eukaryota; Fungi; Ascomycota; Sordariomycetes; Hypocreales; Nectriaceae. The record is from RNAcentral.